Molecule: long non-coding RNA, 172 nt
Organism: Gadus morhua (Atlantic cod)
Lineage: Eukaryota; Metazoa; Chordata; Actinopteri; Gadiformes; Gadidae
Exons: 3
Source: RefSeq, a predicted model, not a curated record
AUAACUUUGACGGAAUCCUGUCAUUUGUCCACGUGAACAAAAAUCACUGGAACAUGCUGUACAUUCAUGCAAAGUCUGGUACUGUGUACCAAAUGGAUCCCUCACCAGCAUCCUCUGAGCUUGAGGACUCUACCCAUGCGGCUCAGAGACUACAGGAAUACUUGAAGAUGAG